GCCGCGCCUGGCCCGACGGGGAGAAAACCGGGACACCCUUGCCCGCCGGCGAGGCGCGUCGUUGGAGCG
Molecule: non-coding RNA, 69 nt
Submitted as: unclassified sequences
Source: Rfam